UACAGAGGUCUCGAGCGUUAGGCGGAAUCACUGGGCUUAAAGCGUGUGUAGGCGGAUCGGUAAGUACCUUGUGAAAUCCCACAGCUUAACUGUGGAACUGCUUGGUAUACUGCCAGUCUUGAGCCAGCUAGGGGCUACCGGAACAAAUGGUGGAGCGGUGAAAUGCGUAGAUAUCAUUUGGAACGCCAUUGGUGAAAACAGGUAGCUGGGGCUGUGCUGACACUGAGACACGAAAGCCAGGGGAGCAAACGGG
Molecule: ribosomal RNA, 253 nt
Filed under: uncultured bacterium
Lineage: Bacteria
Description: partial 16S ribosomal RNA
Rfam family: Bacterial small subunit ribosomal RNA
Source: RNAcentral